AUUCCUGUAGCUUACUACCUAAAGCAUAACACUGAAAAUGUUACGAUGAGAAACACCAUCUCCAAGAAUA
Molecule: transfer RNA, 70 nt
Filed under: Varanus exanthematicus
Lineage: Eukaryota; Metazoa; Chordata; Lepidosauria; Squamata; Varanidae
Description: tRNA-Phe
Rfam family: tRNA
About the family: Transfer RNA (tRNA) molecules are approximately 80 nucleotides in length.
Source: RNAcentral